Molecule: unclassified non-coding RNA, 347 nt
Filed under: Hevea brasiliensis (rubber tree)
Lineage: Eukaryota; Viridiplantae; Streptophyta; Magnoliopsida; Malpighiales; Euphorbiaceae
Source: RNAcentral
GCCGAUUUUGCCGAAGCAUUGGCAUCUAAGAUGCCAGGAAACCUCAAGGUAGUAUAUUUUGUAAAUUCAGGGACAGAAGCAAAUGAAUUAGCAAUGUUGAUGGCACGAUUGUACAGCGGUCACUUAAAUAUGAUUGCCUUGAGGAAUGCAUAUCAUGGUGGAAGCUCUAACACGAUUGGGCUAACUGCUCUUAACACAUGGAAGUACCCUAUUCCACAGGGUGAAAUCCAUCACGUUAUGAAUCCUAACCCAUAUCGUGGAGCAUUUGGAUCCGAUGCUAAACGAUAUGCUGAAGAUGUACAGAAUCACAUUGAUCAUGGUACUUCAGGAAAGGUUGCUGGUUUUAU